Molecule: ribosomal RNA, 551 nt
Filed under: uncultured Lachnospiraceae bacterium
Lineage: Bacteria; Bacillati; Bacillota; Clostridia; Lachnospirales; Lachnospiraceae
Description: bacterial SSU rRNA
Rfam family: Bacterial small subunit ribosomal RNA
Source: RNAcentral
GUCGAACGGGAAAUAUUUCAUUGAGACUUCGGUGGAUUUGAUCUAUUUCUAGUGGCGGACGGGUGAGUAACGCGUGGGUAACCUGCCUUAUACAGGGGGAUAACAGUCAGAAAUGGCUGCUAAUACCGCAUAAGCGCACAGAGCUGCAUGGCUCAGUGUGAAAAACUCCGGUGGUAUAAGAUGGACCCGCGUUGGAUUAGCUUGUUGGUGGGGUAACGGCCCACCAAGGCGACGAUCCAUAGCCGGCCUGAGAGGGUGAACGGCCACAUUGGGACUGAGACACGGCCCAGACUCCUACGGGAGGCAGCAGUGGGGAAUAUUGCACAAUGGGGGAAACCCUGAUGCAGCGACGCCGCGUGAAGGAAGAAGUAUCUCGGUAUGUAAACUUCUAUCAGCAGGGAAGAUAGUGACGGUACCUGACUAAGAAGCCCCGGCUAACUACGUGCCAGCAGCCGCGGUAAUACGUAGGGGGCAAGCGUUAUCCGGAUUUACUGGGUGUAAAGGGAGCGUAGACGGUGUGGCAAGUCUGAUGUGAAAGGCAUGGGUUCAAC